UACGGGGGGGGGCAAGCGUUGUUCGGAAUUACUGGGCGUAAAGGGCGCGUAGGCUGCUCGUUAAGUCGGGUGUGAAAACUCUGGGCUCAACCCAGAGCCUGCAUUCGAAACUGACGAGCUAGAGUUCUGGAGGGGAAAGCGGAAUUCCUGGUGUAGCGGUGAAAUGCGUAGAUAUCAGGAGGAACACCGGUGGCGAAGGCGGGUCUCUGGGCCGAUAUUGACGCUGAGGAGCGAAAGCGUGGGGAGCGAACAGG
This 254-nucleotide ribosomal RNA is filed under the name uncultured bacterium. Its description in RNAcentral is "partial 16S ribosomal RNA". It matches the Rfam family "Bacterial small subunit ribosomal RNA", at positions 524 to 776 of the family's 1533-position model. The record is from RNAcentral.